RNAcentral lists this ribosomal RNA (490 nucleotides) under uncultured bacterium. Its description in RNAcentral is "partial 16S ribosomal RNA". It matches the Rfam family "Bacterial small subunit ribosomal RNA", at positions 30 to 507 of the family's 1533-position model. The record is from RNAcentral.
AUUGAACGCUGGCGGCAGGCCUAACACAUGCAAGUCGAACGGUAACAGGAAGAAGCUUGCUUCUUUGCUGACGAGUGGCGGACGGGUGAGUAAUGUCUGGGAAACUGCCUGAUGGAGGGGGAUAACUACUGGAAACGGUAGCUAAUACCGCAUAACGUCGCAAGACCAAAGAGGGGGACCUUCGGGCCUCUUGCCAUCGGAUGUGCCCAGAUGGGAUUAGCUAGUAGGUGGGGUAACGGCUCACCUAGGCGAUGAUCCCUAGCUGGUCUGAGAGGAUGACCAGCCACACUGGAACUGAGACACGGUCCAGACUCCUAUGGGAGGCAGCAGUGGGGAAUAUUGCACAAAGGGCGCAAGCCUGAUGCAGCCAUGCCGCGUGUAUGAAGAAGGCCUUCGGGUUGUAAAGUACUUUCAGCGGGGAGGAAGGGAGUAAAGUUAAUACCUUUGCUCAUUGACGUUACCCGCAGAAGAAGCACCGGCUAACUCCGUG